AUACUUACCUGGACGGGCUCAAUGAGUGAUCGGGAAGACUCAUGGCCUAGAGCAGUGACCUCCAUUGCACUUGGGAGGGGUGCUGCUUUAAGGUCUCCCCAAGAGGGAGAGCCUACGUCAUAAUUUGUGGCAGUGGGGGCUUGCGUUCGCGCAGCCCCUAU
This is a non-coding RNA of Gossypium raimondii (Peruvian cotton), 161 nucleotides long. Lineage: Eukaryota; Viridiplantae; Streptophyta; Magnoliopsida; Malvales; Malvaceae. The record is from Rfam.